UAUAUAUCUAUAAUUUUUCAUAUUAUAGAUAGAGUGCUACAUAACAUUAAUAACAGUGACAAAAUAGUUGUGUGGAAAGGAAAAUUGAAGCAAGUUUUGGACUUUCUGCCACUCAAGGGUGGAACAAAUAGCAGUUGGGAUGUAGAGAGAAGAUACUGACAAGAAUGACAGUUGGUGGGGGGAAGGGAACUUGGAAAGUGUCAGUUGGCCUAGAGAGUCUCUUUUCUGGCCCUCAGACUGGAAGGAGUUCUCUCCCUGUUUUGGGAUAGAAGUAACUCUAUUCCGGAUCUACUCAACUGUGUGCUUUACCCUGCUUCCUGUGACUGUGUCAUUGGACAAAAAGAUUUAAGGGGAGCAGUUUGAACUGCAAGGCUGGGCUUUAGGGGUGUCAGCCCAAGGAGACAGGCCCAACCAACUCUUCAAAAGAUUGCAGUUGUCUAUGACUCACAACCACACAGUAAUACCAGAAGAAUCCUGUUGUUAUGAAGAUGGGAGAACCUAUCUGUCAUUAAAAGAACCUUGCAAUUUUCCAAAAGGCAAUUCAGCACAUUCUCCUUAUGUUCUGUUCUGAGCCCAACUCUUGAGAACUGAAGAAAAAAGGAUUCCAGAUCUGAUCUGGCCAGAGCAGAAUAUGCCAAAAAGAGCAAAAUAUACCUGAAAGAGAACCUCCUUAUAAUGGGAAGGGGAGAGGAUGAGAGAGAGAGCAAACAUGAUCCUAGUCCAUACAGAGAUUUUCAAGAAGAAAAUCAAGAUGGCCAGAGUGAAGAAAAUAAAUAUUCUAAAUAAAAGGCAGUGUGGUAUGGUGGGCAGAGCUGAAAUCUGGAGCUCUUGUUAAAAUUCUAAAUGUACUGCUCAUCACUUUUCAUCCCUGAGAUUCACUUUCCUAAAUUGUAAAAUGGAGGAGAAGUGAAGAAGAGGUCACUGCGAGAUCUUUAAGGUAUCUUUAGCUCUAAAAUUUUAUGAAUCCUUUGAAGAGUUAUAGGACACUUCACCUUGUAUUAACACUAUAAAGGGGAAUUCAAGAUAAAAUAUGUCACUUUAGGCCCCAUAGGUUCUUGUUGCAAAAGAACUAACAAGACCUAGUUUUAACUAUAUAAUUUUCAAUUAUUUGUGGCCUAGACAUGAUGUUUACUAGUGCUAUAUGAAGUUUCAAAUUACAAUAAGCAUUGUUAUCAAUGGUUUUAAAGGGACAAAAC
Molecule: long non-coding RNA, 1196 nt
Filed under: Monodelphis domestica (gray short-tailed opossum)
Lineage: Eukaryota; Metazoa; Chordata; Mammalia; Didelphimorphia; Didelphidae
Description: lncRNA (ENSMODG00000048136.1)
Source: RNAcentral